UGACGGUGCCUGCAGAAAAAGCAACGGCUAACUACGUGCCAGCAGCCGCGGUAAUACGUAGGUUGCAAGCGUUGUCCGGAUUUACUGGGUGUAAAGGGCGUGUAGGCGGAGCUGCAAGUCAGAUGUGAAAUCCCGGGGCUCAACCCCGGAACUGCAUUUGAAACUGUAGCCCUUGAGUAUCGGAGAGGCAAGCGGAAUUCCUAGUGUAGCGGUGAAAUGCGUAGAUAUUAGGAGGAACACCAGUGGCGAAGGCGGCUUGCUGGACGACAACUGACGCUGAGGCGCGAAAGCGUGGGGAGCAAACAGGAUUAGAUACCCUG
Molecule: ribosomal RNA, 320 nt
Filed under: uncultured bacterium
Lineage: Bacteria
Description: bacterial SSU rRNA
Rfam family: Bacterial small subunit ribosomal RNA
Source: RNAcentral